GCAAGUCGAACGGCAGCACGGGUGCUUGCACCUGGUGGCGAGUGGCGAACGGGUGAGUAAUAUAUCGGAACGUGCCCUGUAGUGGGGGAUAACUAGUCGAAAGAUUAGCUAAUACCGCAUACGACCUGAGGGUGAAAGUGGGGGACCGCAAGGCCUCACGCUAUAGGAGCGGCCGAUAUCUGAUUAGCUAGUUGGUGGGGUAAAGGCCUACCAAGGCGACGAUCAGUAGCUGGUCUGAGAGGACGAUCAGCCACACUGGGACUGAGACACGGCCCAGACUCCUACGGGAGGCAGCAGUGGGGAAUUUUGGACAAUGGGGGCAACCCUGAUCCAGCAAUGCCGCGUGUGUGAAGAAGGCCUUCGGGUUGUAAAGCACUUUUGUCCGGAAAGAAAUCCUUUGGGUUAAUACCUCGGAGGGAUGACGGUACCGGAAGAAUAAGGACCGGCUAACUACGUGCCAGCAGCCGCGGUAAUACGUAGGGUCCGAGCGUUAAUCGGAAUUACUGGGCGUAAAGCGUGCGCAGGCGGUUGUGUAAGACAGAUGUGAAAUCCCCGGGCUCAACCUGGGAAUUGCAUUUGUGACUGCACAGCUAGAGUGUGUCAGAGGGGGGUAGAAUUCCACGUGUAGCAGUG
RNAcentral lists this ribosomal RNA (633 nucleotides) under Ralstonia sp. Its description in RNAcentral is "bacterial SSU rRNA". It matches the Rfam family "Bacterial small subunit ribosomal RNA", at positions 57 to 683 of the family's 1533-position model. The record is from RNAcentral. Lineage: Bacteria; Pseudomonadati; Pseudomonadota; Betaproteobacteria; Burkholderiales; Burkholderiaceae.